CUCGUAGGCGGUUUGUUAAGUCGGAUGUGAAAGCCCCGGGCUCAACCUGGGAACUGCAUUCGAUACUGGCAAACUAGAGUAUAGAAGAGGCAAGUGGAAUUCCAGGUGCAGCGGUGAAAUGCGUAGAUAUCUGGAGGAACAUCAGUGGCGAAGGCGACUUGCUGGUCUAAUACUGACGCUGAGGAGCGAAAGCGUGGGGAGCAAACAGGAUUAGAUACCCUGGUAGUCC
RNAcentral lists this ribosomal RNA (229 nucleotides) under uncultured bacterium. RNAcentral's name for it is "partial 16S ribosomal RNA". It matches the Rfam family "Bacterial small subunit ribosomal RNA", at positions 568 to 796 of the family's 1533-position model. The record is from RNAcentral.